CCCAGCCUCAAGCCAUCCUCCCACCUCAGCCUCCCGAGUAGCUGGGACCAGAGGCACAUGUCACCACACCUGGCUAAAUUUUUUUUUUUUUUUUUUUUUUGUAGAGAUGGGGUUUUGCCAUGUUCCCCAAGCUCAUCUUGAACUCCUGGGCUCAAGUGAUCUGCCUGCCUUGGCCUCCAAAGUGAUAGGAUUACAUGUUGCUGAGUCUGCCUGAAGAGCGCCCAACUUGGCAGCAGCUUGGCAGAGCAGAGGAAACAGGCUCUCCUGCAUUCAGCCUGCCCUGGCACAUCUGGAAUCUGGCUGACACCUGAGUCUGGGUUAGACUGCUGGGGGCCAGGGGGCUGGCUUUGGGGCUGUGCUUCAGGCAAGGAGGCCAGGGCUGCUCACCUGGCCCACUUCCCUCAUUCCUCACCUGCUCCCUGCCCACCUGCCCAGGGGGUAGAUCUGGGCCAGGCAUCUCAGGGGAGCCCCUCUCUCAGUGGUGCCUGCCUCUGCCCAUCAUGCCCUGCCCUGGUAGGGCUUUGGCCAAGGACCCAGGGCCCUGCUCCUGCUUGCCGCAGAAGGAGGAGGAAGCUGGGGGGUGGUAUCUGCAGGACAGGACCUGGAGAUGGCGUCUGGGGUGGGAGUUUUGGCCCCUGAGGCUGUCUGCCCAGCCAGUCUCCAGUCCUUCAGGAGCUCCUCCCCACCCAGUGCCCAUGCCCUUCUCUGCAGCGAUCCUGCUCUGCAGAGACUGUAGGGACCCUGCUACCCCUCCUCAUUCCUCCUGGUCCCCAAACUCUGAGCCUAUUGUUUAGAAGAUUUUGUCCUGAAAUGAAACUGUUGAGAAAG
Molecule: long non-coding RNA, 828 nt
Filed under: Homo sapiens (human)
Lineage: Eukaryota; Metazoa; Chordata; Mammalia; Primates; Hominidae
Description: HSALNT0290445
Source: RNAcentral